Molecule: ribosomal RNA, 1856 nt
Filed under: Escherichia coli
Lineage: Bacteria; Pseudomonadati; Pseudomonadota; Gammaproteobacteria; Enterobacterales; Enterobacteriaceae
Description: partial 23S ribosomal RNA
Rfam family: Bacterial large subunit ribosomal RNA
Source: RNAcentral
GGGUUGUGAGGUUAAGCGACUAAGCGUACACGGUGGAUGCCCUGGCAGUCAGAGGCGAUGAAGGACGUGCUAAUCUGCGAUAAGCGUCGGUGAGGUGAUAUGAACCGUUAUAACCGGCGAUUUCCGAAUGGGGAAACCCAGUGUGUUUCGACACACUAUCAUUAACUGAAUCCAUAGGUUAAUGAGGCGAACCGGGGGAACUGAAACAUCUAAGUACCCCGAGGAAAAGAAAUCAACCGAGAUUCCCCCAGUAGCGGCGAGCGAACGGGGAGGAGCCCAGAGCCUGAAUCAGUGUGUGUGUUAGUGGAAGCGUCUGGAAAGGCGUGCGAUACAGGGUGACAGCCCCGUACACAAAAAUGCACAUAUUGUGAGCUCGAUGAGUAGGGCGGGACACGUGGUAUCCUGUCUGAAUAUGGGGGGACCAUCCUCCAAGGCUAAAUACUCCUGACUGACCGAUAGUGAACCAGUACCGUGAGGGAAAGGCGAAAAGAACCCCGGCGAGGGGAGUGAAAAAGAACCUGAAACCGUGUACGUACAAGCAGUGGGAGCCUCUUAAUGGGGUGACUGCGUACCUUUUGUAUAAUGGGUCAGCGACUUAUAUUCUGUAGCAAGGUUAACCGAAUAGGGGAGCCGAAGGGAAACCGAGUCUUAACUGGGCGUUAAGUUGCAGGGUAUAGACCCGAAACCCGGUGAUCUAGCCAUGGGCAGGUUGAAGGUUGGGUAACACUAACUGGAGGACCGAACCGACUAAUGUUGAAAAAUUAGCGGAUGACUUGUGGCUGGGGGUGAAAGGCCAAUCAAACCGGGAGAUAGCUGGUUCUCCCCGAAAGCUAUUUAGGUAGCGCCUCGUGAAUUCAUCUCCGGGGGUAGAGCACUGUUUCGGCAAGGGGGUCAUCCCGACUUACCAACCCGAUGCAAACUGCGAAUACCGGAGAAUGUUAUCACGGGAGACACACGGCGGGUGCUAACGUCCGUCGUGAAGAGGGAAACAACCCAGACCGCCAGCUAAGGUCCCAAAGUCAUGGUUAAGUGGGAAACGAUGUGGGAAGGCCCAGACAGCCAGGAUGUUGGCUUAGAAGCAGCCAUCAUUUAAAGAAAGCGUAAUAGCUCACUGGUCGAGUCGGCCUGCGCGGAAGAUGUAACGGGGCUAAACCAUGCACCGAAGCUGCGGCAGCGACACUAUGUGUUGUUGGGUAGGGGAGCGUUCUGUAAGCCUGUGAAGGUGGCCUGUGAGGGUUGCUGGAGGUAUCAGAAGUGCGAAUGCUGACAUAAGUAACGAUAAAGCGGGUGAAAAGCCCGCUCGCCGGAAGACCAAGGGUUCCUGUCCAACGUUAAUCGGGGCAGGGUGAGUCGACCCCUAAGGCGAGGCCGAAAGGCGUAGUCGAUGGGAAACAGGUUAAUAUUCCUGUACUUGGUGUUACUGCGAAGGGGGGACGGAGAAGGCUAUGUUGGCCGGGCGACGGUUGUCCCGGUUUAAGCGUGUAGGCUGGUUUUCCAGGCAAAUCCGGAAAACCAGGGCUGAGGCGUGAUGACGAGGCACUACGGUGCUGAAGCGACAAAUGCCCUGCUUCCAGGAAAAGCCUCUAAGCAUCAGGUAACAUCAAAUCGUACCCCAAACCGACACAGGUGGUCAGGUAGAGAAUACCAAGGCGCUUGAGAGAACUCGGGUGAAGGAACUAGGCAAAAUGGUGCCGUAACUUCGGGAGAAGGCACGCUGAUAUGUAGGUGAAGCGACUUGCUCGUGGAGCUGAAAUCAGUCGAAGAUACCAGCUGGCUGCAACUGUUUAUUAAAAACACAGCACUGUGCAAACACGAAAGUGGACGUAUACGGUGUGACGCCUGCCCGGUGCCGGAAG